Molecule: ribosomal RNA, 303 nt
Filed under: uncultured bacterium
Lineage: Bacteria
Description: partial 16S ribosomal RNA
Rfam family: Bacterial small subunit ribosomal RNA
Source: RNAcentral
AGCAGUAGCCGCGGUAAUACGAAGGGGGCUAGCGUUGUUCGGAAUUACUGGGCGUAAAGCGCACGUAGGCGGCUUGGUAAGUUAGAGGUGAAAGCCCGGAGCUCAACUCCGGAAUUGCCUUUAAGACUGCCGAGCUAGCAGGUGAGAGAGGUAAGUGGAAUUCCGAGUGUAGAGGUGAAAUUCGUAGAUAUUCGGAAGAACACCAGUGGCGAAGGCGGCUUACUGGCUCAUACUGGACGCUGAGGUGCGAAAGCAUGGGGAGCAAACAGGAUUAGAUACCCGCGUAGUCCCUGUCUCUUAUAC